CGCUGGCGGCGUGCCUAAUACAUGCAAGUCAACGGUCUUUCUAUGGAAGCUUGCUUCCACUGAGAAGAUAGUGGCGAACGGGUGAGGUAACACGUGGGUAACCUGCCCAUAAGAGGGGGAUAACAUCCGGAAACGGGUGCUAAUACCGCAUAGUUUCUUGAUCGCAUGAUCGGGAAAGGAAGACGGCCUUUGUGCUGUCGCUUAUGGAUGGACCCGCGGCGUAUUAGUUAGUUGGUGAGGUAACGGCUCACCAAGACGAUGAUACGUAGCCGACCUGAGAGGGUGAUCGGCCACAUUGGGACUGAGACACGGCCCCAACUCCUACGGGAGGCAGCAGUAGGGAAUCUUCCGCAAUGGACGAAAGUCUGACGGAGCAACGCCGCGUGAGUGAAGAAAAGGUUUUCGGAUCGUAAAACUCUGUUGUCAGAGAAGAACAAGUUGGAGAGUAACUGCUCCAGCCUUGACGGUAUCUGACCAGAAAGCCACGGCUAACUACGUGCCAGCCGCAGC
RNAcentral lists this ribosomal RNA (510 nucleotides) under uncultured bacterium. RNAcentral's name for it is "bacterial SSU rRNA". It matches the Rfam family "Bacterial small subunit ribosomal RNA", at positions 34 to 518 of the family's 1533-position model. The record is from RNAcentral.